Molecule: ribosomal RNA, 386 nt
Filed under: Clostridioides difficile
Lineage: Bacteria; Bacillati; Bacillota; Clostridia; Peptostreptococcales; Peptostreptococcaceae
Description: bacterial LSU rRNA
Rfam family: Bacterial large subunit ribosomal RNA
Source: RNAcentral
AGGUGAUGGACAACAGGUUGAUAUUCCUGUACUACCGAUAACCGUUUGAGAGAUGGGAUGACACAGUAGGAUAAGCUAAGCACACUGUUGGUUAUGUGUGCCCAAGCAUUGAGGCAGUCAAAGUAGGUAAAUCCGCUUUGAUAAUGCUGGGAUGUGAUGGGGAGCGAAAUUUAGUAGCGAAGUAGCUGAUUUCACACUGUCAAGAAAAGUCUCUAUCGAGGUUAAAGGUACCCGUACCGCAAACCGACACAGGUGGGUGAGGAGAGUAUCCUAAGGCCAGCGAGAGAACGGUUGUUAAGGAACUCGGCAAAAUGACCCCGUAACGUAGGGAUAAUGGGUGCCACCAUCCGGUGGCCGCAGAGAAUAGGCCCAAGCGACUGUUUACC